AGUGAACGCUGGCGGUAGGCCUAACACAUGCAAGUCGAACGGCAGCACAGUAAGAGCUUGCUCUUACGGGUGGCGAGUGGCGGACGGUUGAGGAAUACAUCGGAAUCUACUUUUUCGUGGGGGAUAACGUAGGGAAACUUACGCUAAUACCGCAUACGACCUACGGGUGAAAGCAGGGGAUCUUCGGAACUUGCGCGAUUGAAUGAGCCGAUGUCGGAUUAGCUAGUUGGCGGGGUAAAGGCCCACCAAGGCGACGAUCCGUAGCUGGUCUGAGAGGAUGAUCAGCCACACUGGAACUGAGACACGGUCCAGACUCCUACGGGAGGCAGCAGUGGGGAAUAUUGGACAAUGGGCGCAAGCCUGAUCCAGCCAUACCGCGUGGGUGAAGAAGGCCUUCGGGUUGUAAAGCCCUUUUGUUGGGAAAGAAAAGCAGCAGGUUAAUACCCCGCUGUUCUGACGGUACCCAAAGAAUAAGCACCGGCUAACUUCGUG
RNAcentral lists this ribosomal RNA (492 nucleotides) under uncultured bacterium. RNAcentral describes it as "partial 16S ribosomal RNA". It matches the Rfam family "Bacterial small subunit ribosomal RNA", at positions 29 to 507 of the family's 1533-position model. The record is from RNAcentral.